This 829-nucleotide ribosomal RNA is filed under the name uncultured bacterium. Its description in RNAcentral is "bacterial SSU rRNA". It matches the Rfam family "Bacterial small subunit ribosomal RNA", at positions 29 to 852 of the family's 1533-position model. The record is from RNAcentral.
AUGAACGCUGGCGGAAUGCUUUACACAUGCAAGUCGAGCGGCAGCGCGGGGGCAACCCUGGCGGCGAGCGGCGAACGGGUGAGUAAUACAUCGGAACAUGUCCAGUUGUGGGGGAUAGCCCGGCGAAAGCCGGAUUAAUACCGCAUGAGCUCGAGAGAGGAAAGCGGGGGACCGAAAGGCCUCGCGCGACUGGGUUGGCCGAUGUCCGAUUAGCUAGUUGGUGGGGUAAAGGCCUACCAAGGCGAUGAUCGGUAGCUGGUCUGAGAGGAUGAUCAGCCACACUGGGACUGAGACACGGCCCAGACUCCUACGGGAGGCAGCAGUGGGGAAUUUUGGACAAUGGGGGCAACCCUGAUCCAGCCAUUCCGCGUGAGUGAAGAAGGCCUUCGGGUUGUAAAGCUCUUUUGUCCGGAGCGAAACGGUUACGGUGAAUAUCCGUGACUACUGACGGUACCGGAAGAAUAAGCACCGGCUAACUACGUGCCAGCAGCCGCGGUAAUACGUAGGGUGCGAGCGUUAAUCGGAAUUACUGGGCGUAAAGCGUGCGCAGGCGGGCUUUUAAGCCAGACGUGAAAUCCCCGGGCUUAACCUGGGAAUGGCGUUUGGGACUGGGAGUCUGGAGUGCGGCAGAGGAGACUGGAAUUCCUGGUGUAGCAGGUGAGAAUGCGUAGAUAUCAGGGAGGAACACCGAUGGCGAAGGCAGGUCUCUGGGGCUGACACUGACGCUCAUGCACGAAAGCGUGGGGAGCAAAACCCGGAUUAGAUACCCUGGUAGUCCAAGCCCUAAAGAUGUCGACUGGUUGUGGGGGUUGACCUCUCAGAACGAAGU